UAUAAAAGAGGUACAUAAUCCUAAUCAUUCGUGGGAGAGACUUCUCACCUCUCACAUGUUCUGGUUCUGAGUCAAAUCAAUUCUUUCAAGAAAUUCCACUUAGAAAUUAGACUGAAAAAAAAACAACAAGCAAUCCUUAUUUUAUACACCUUUUUACCAAUUUUUUAUUGUUGACAAUUACAUUUUCUUUGACCGAAAACUUUUGUUUCUCUUCAAUCACUCACUAGAAAAAACCACAUUAUGUAACAUUCAGAGGCUUUUAUGCUUUUCAAAGGUGUUAAACUCUCUUGCAAAUUAGCUAUUGUUAAUGCUUAGACUCACAUGUUCGCAGUUAUUGCAAUACAAAUGAUCCUUCAGCCAUCCUCUGUGGAUCCACCACCGCGACUCCGUCAAGAGUCACGACCUUCAAUCUGAACCGUAACCACUAUCAUUAGUACCUGCUAUUUGUUUUUUUGUUUUUGUCUUUGUUUUCAGGAAACAUCAUACAAGUUCAAAAUCAACAACAACAGAGCUUAGCAGCAUAAACACAUUCAAAGGGUGAGUUUAAAAUCGACUUCCGCCGUGAAGCUCAAAAUUCACCCACGGAUCCAACCUCACCUGCGCGAGACAUCAUCACUAAUCACCACGAUACUGAACAAACAUCAUCGAGUCCACAUCAUCGUCACCGUUCAACUUCAAUCGCAACGAUACCAUUUCAUCUGCUCAGCGGCAACAUUGACGCGAUAGCUUCGACAAUACCAGAUCCGGAAGCCGCAUCAAUACUCACUAGUUUGCAAACCGAAGUGGAUCCGGGCACCUACCGCCGCCAGAAACAACCACACGUGAUCCUUCAUCAACGAUGACCGCAACACUUGCCGAAUCAGAUCCAAAACCGCCUCAAGCUUACGCCGCCAACUGCUCUGAUAUCGCAUACCCUCGGCCCGAUCGGCGACCACAUUCGACUGCAUCCUGGAAUUGCCAAAAUCACUGUGUCGGGUUUGGACCUGGUGAUCAGAUACACAAACACUUUUAACAUGAUUGCUGACACUUGUCCAACGGCACCUAAAAAUCAAGAAUACCUAAAGGUAUAUGCAAGGUUGUUAAAAUUGUGAUAUAAAAUCUAAAUUCUAUAGAUUUUACGUUUCUAGGUUUGCUUUUCGUGUUAAAUCAAAGGUAAAAAGCUCUUUUAUGAAAAAUUGUAUUCUGGGAUGAUUUUAAUGAUUUCAAUCACUUUGAAAUAUGUGAAAUCGUGUAAAAUAGUUUAAAAUCGUUUGAUUCUACUCUUAAACCUGAUUUUAUUUUUUUUAGUCAAACUUUAAAAAGGUUAUUUUAUAAUUUAGCCCAUGAAAACUUCUUACACGCUUUUUCCUCUUACUCAGUUUCAUAUAUUGGUUUUAUUAUUGAAGAACUUUUAUUAUCUAGAGAUGAAUUUAAUCAAGUUAAAUAUGUGCGCGUGCAUGCGUGUGCGUGCGUGUGCGCGCUUAUGUGCAUUUGGUCAGUGUAUCGGGUAUAUAAAUUUUAUAUUAUUUUCACAUGAGAUAAACUUUAUGAUUUUAUACUUUUAUUUUACGUUUUGAUUUUACCUAGGAAAAAUAAGUCAAGGUAAAAACUCGAUUCUGACAACCUUGGGUAUAUGCAUUUCAUCCAAACGGAACAUUACAUUGUUAUGUCAGGUAAAUAUUCCAUCUUAUGGUAGUCCUCAUUUUUUAUUUAGAAAACGGGUGAGAAGGCUUAUGUAUGCAUAAUAGUUGAAACAAAUGCCUACAUGAGUAUGAAAAAAAAAUGCAAAAAGCCUUGCAUGUCGUGCUUGCAGGGAUCAAAAAUUGGUCAUGGUGUCGUUCGUAAGUUAUUUAAUUUACUAAAUCCAAGUGUUUUAGUUAAAAAAAAUUGUUGAGUAGUGAUAAACAUUCCAUUAUGUACUAGGGUUCUCCUGUAUAAUCUCUAAAUUCAGUUGAUUAUAACCAUCUCUGUUUUAUGGACGCUUGUAUGGGUUAUAAUGUUCAGAUAAUACCUUAUUACAAUUUCUUUACCUUCAUAGUUUUAGUUUCAAUUUAGUAUUUAAUAUUUAUGCAAACCUUUUUAUUUACCCUGGCAGUGGUGAUAAAGUUUUCAGGUUAGAAAUCACAAGCCACAUGAAGCUUGGUUUCAAGGAGGGUUGUGAAUAUGAACUAGUGGCUCCAUGGACCCAAGAAUAUGGGGAAUUCCUAACAUUUGAACCAAUAUAAGAUGCAUGUCAUUGAUCUAGAGCUUUUCAACCGGAGAGAACACUUGUGAUGUGGAAGGUAUUUUUUUAAGGAAAACCACUUCCAAAGAGACCCCUCUUUCAUUAUAAAUAUUUAUAUUAAUACAAAAAGUGUUUUAUAAAUAUGUGUCAUUAUAUUUUUUAUUUGAAUACAUUUUUUGUGAUUUUAAUGAAGUGGACAGUGACUCAUGAUGUUUGUUUGGUAUAUAGUAAGAUGAAUAUUAAACAUUUGAAAAAGAUAAAGCUAAUGCAAUCUGUAAUUUUAUAUAAAUAUCAAACAUUUUAUAAUAUGUUGUUCCCCACUUCAAAACUGUCAUAUUUACCAUACAAGUUUCAUACAAGCUUCACUAGUUUUUUGUUCCCACCACUUCAAAACUGUCAUAUUCACCAUACAAGUUUGAUAGAAGCUUCAUGUUAAACACAACCCUUCACUGGAUUAAGCUUUUUUAUUAAAUGAUAUUGGAUUUUUUAUUAUACAAGCGCACAUGCUCUAUCAUGAUUCUCCUACUGGAGUUGGCUUCUUCUGUUUCGCCAAAACUUCUAAUUAUUUGUCUAUGAUUGAUGAAAUUAUGAGUAAUUUAUUUUUUAACACUUCUGAUUAU
This is a long non-coding RNA of Vicia villosa (hairy vetch), 2823 nucleotides long. RefSeq lists it as uncharacterized. The record is from RefSeq and is a predicted model, not a curated record. The transcript has 3 exons. NCBI's taxonomy places the organism in Eukaryota, Viridiplantae, Streptophyta, Magnoliopsida, Fabales, Fabaceae.